AGUGAACGCUGGCGGUAGGCCUAACACAUGCAAGUCGAACGGCAGCACAGUAAGGGCUUGCUCUUACGGGUGGCGAGUGGCGGACGGGUGAGGAAUACAUCGGAAUCUACUUUUUCGUGGGGGAUAACGUAGGGAAACUUACGCUAAUACCGCAUACAACCUACGGGUGAAAGCAGGGGAUCUUCGGACCUUGCGCGAUUGAAUGAGCCGAUGUCGGAUUAGCUAGUUGGCGGGGUAAAGGCCCACCAAGGCGACGAUCCGUAGCUGGUCUGAGAGGAUGAUCAGCCACACUGGAACUGAGACACGGCCCAGACUCCUACGGGAGGCAGCAGUGGGGAAUAUUGGACAAUGGGCGCAAGCCUGAUCCAGCCAUACCGCGUGGGUGAAGAAGGCCUUCGGGUUGUAAAGCCCUUUUGUUGGGAAAGAAAAGCAGCAGGUUAAUACCCCGCUGUUCUGACGGUACCCAAAGAAUAAGCACCGGCUAACUUCGUG
RNAcentral lists this ribosomal RNA (492 nucleotides) under uncultured bacterium. RNAcentral's name for it is "partial 16S ribosomal RNA". It matches the Rfam family "Bacterial small subunit ribosomal RNA", at positions 29 to 507 of the family's 1533-position model. The record is from RNAcentral.